UGCCAGCCGCCGCGGUAAUACGGGGGGAGCAAGCGUUAUCCGGAAUCAUUGGGCGUAAAGAGCUCGUAGGCGGUUCAGCAAGUCGGCUGUGAAAUUCCGAGGCUCAACCUCGGAACUGCAGUCGAUACUGCUGUGACUCGAGUCCGGUAGAGGAGAAUGGAAUUCCCGGUGUAGCGGUGAAAUGCGCAGAUAUCGGGAGGAACACCAGUAGCGAAGGCGGUUCUCUGGGCCGGCACUGACGCUGGGGAGCGAAAGCGUGGGUAGCAAACAGGAUUAGAUA
RNAcentral lists this ribosomal RNA (280 nucleotides) under uncultured bacterium. RNAcentral's name for it is "partial 16S ribosomal RNA". It matches the Rfam family "Bacterial small subunit ribosomal RNA", at positions 506 to 784 of the family's 1533-position model. The record is from RNAcentral.